RNAcentral lists this ribosomal RNA (587 nucleotides) under uncultured bacterium. RNAcentral's name for it is "bacterial SSU rRNA". It matches the Rfam family "Bacterial small subunit ribosomal RNA", at positions 28 to 612 of the family's 1533-position model. The record is from RNAcentral.
AGCGAACGUUUGCGGCGGGCCUAACACAUGCAAGUCGAACGAGAAUCUCUUCGGAGAGGAAAGUGGCGCACGGGUGCGUAACACGUGGAUAACCAACCCCNGCUGUCGGGAUAACGCUGGGAAACCGGCGCUAAUACCGGGUGUGUCCGAGGUGUCAUCAGGCGCUUCGGAGAAAGACACGCAAGGGUCGCCAGGGGACGGGUCCGCGUCCCAUCAGCUAGUUGGUGAGGUAAUGGCUCACCAAGGCAAAGACGGGUAGCUGGUCUGAGAGGAUGAUCAGCCACACUGGAACUGAGACACGGUCCAGACUCCUACGGGAGGCAGCAGUGGGGAAUAUUGCGCAAUGGGCGGAAGCCUGACGCAGCCACGCCGCGUGAGCGAUGAAGGUCUUAGGAUCGUAAAGCUCUGUGGAGGGGAAGAAGAAAGCUGGUGAAGAGCCGGCCUUGACGGUAUCCCUUUAGCAAGCACCGGCUAACUCCGUGCCAGCAGCCGCGGUAAUACGGAGGGUGCAAACGUUGCUCGGAAUCAUUGGGCGUAAAGCGCGCGUAGGCGGCGAGGCAAGUUGGAUGUGAAAGCCCUGGGCUCAA